RNAcentral lists this ribosomal RNA (498 nucleotides) under uncultured bacterium. RNAcentral describes it as "partial 16S ribosomal RNA". It matches the Rfam family "Bacterial small subunit ribosomal RNA", at positions 30 to 523 of the family's 1533-position model. The record is from RNAcentral.
AUUGAACGCUGGCGGCAUGCCUUACACAUGCAAGUCGAACGGAAUUGGGAGCUUGCUCCUGAUUUAGUGGCGAACGGGUGAGUAAUGCAUCGGAACGUACCCGGGAGUGGGGGAUAACGUAGCGAAAGUUACGCUAAUACCGCAUAUUCUGUGAGCAGGAAAGCAGGGGACCGCAAGGCCUUGUGCUUCCGGAGCGGCCGAUGUCGGAUUAGCUAGUUGGUGAGGUAAAGGCUCACCAAGGCGACGAUCCGUAGCUGGUCUGAGAGGAUGAUCAGCCACACUGGGACUGAGACACGGCCCAGACUCCUACGGGAGGCAGCAGUGGGGAAUAUUGGACAAUGGGGGCAACCCUGAUCCAGCCAUGCCGCGUGAGUGAAGAAGGCCUUCGGGUUGUAAAGCUCUUUCGCGAGGGAAGAAAGCGCACUGGUUAAUACCUGGUGUGAAUGACGGCACCUUGAUAAGAAGCACCGGCUAACUACGUGCCAGCAGCCGCCGUAA